This is a long non-coding RNA of Hevea brasiliensis (rubber tree), 329 nucleotides long. RefSeq lists it as uncharacterized. NCBI's taxonomy places the organism in Eukaryota, Viridiplantae, Streptophyta, Magnoliopsida, Malpighiales, Euphorbiaceae. The record is from RefSeq and is a predicted model, not a curated record. The transcript has 2 exons.
UUGUCAGGUGAGCUGGGACAGCCUUCUUCCUCCGCCCAACCGCCACAGUGAUUAUCGUCAAGUCUGCCACAGGAGGAUAUUUUAUUCUGGGUUAACCUGCUUUUCUACUUCGCAGGUUGUUUAUCAAUAUUUGUGUAAUUUUAUUUACUCCUAGAAUUUCCGCAUGUGUUAGCAGUAAUUAUUUGAAUUUGGUCUGUAAUAUUAUUAUCAUGUUGGACCUGUAAACUUAAUAUUCUAUGUCUGUUUUGAUGGAUUGGAUGAGGGAGCUGAGCUCCCAUUUAUUAUUAUGUUGAUGAGUAUGUGGAGGGUGAGCUGAGCUCCCCAAUUGA